Long non-coding RNA from Vidua chalybeata, 447 nucleotides. RefSeq lists it as uncharacterized. Lineage: Eukaryota; Metazoa; Chordata; Aves; Passeriformes; Viduidae. The record is from RefSeq and is a predicted model, not a curated record. The transcript is spliced from 3 exons.
UGGGACAGCACCCCACUCCUCACAGCUGCUCUCCUGCCAGGGUGGGCUUGGGACACAGCUGUCACCGAGGACACAUGACUGAAGCAAUUCGCAGAACAGAAGCACUCAUCAACAACAGCAAACUUCCCAGAAAAGGCUGUGGGAGCGUUACCAGCUUGUUUCCAUCCCCUGAGGAGACCCCACUCCAUCACACAGCAAAGGUCACUCCCGAGCCGGUGUUCCAGCCCGUCACCACAUUCCCGUUUGUGAUAAAUGAGAGUUCCCAGCUCAGAAAGGCACUACUGGAUUUGGCACUCGCUCAGAGCCCUGUCCCUGCCGUCCCUGCAGCUUGUGAUGCAAACCGGGAUUCAAAGCCGACCUGGUCUCUUCGGUUUCCAUGUGGAUUCUUGCCUAAAUCAAGGAAGGUUUAAAGGAUAAGAUCAAGACCUUCUCUGAAAUUCACUGCUC